AAAAGUUGUGGAAAUCGUGGUGACCUCUAUUGGUGAGCCGCGAUUCUCUCCUUUUUGUGAAAUGUUCUGAGGGAUUGCUCCAGAUCUCUCGACCUUUUAUUUUACAUAUUUGAUUGACUGUUGUUUAACAAAUUGAAAGUUUUGGAUCAGAAAUGAUUCAAGACGAUAAAAUUUCAAAA
Molecule: unclassified non-coding RNA, 179 nt
Filed under: uncultured fungus
Lineage: Eukaryota; Fungi
Description: sequence contains ITS1, 5.8S rRNA gene
Source: RNAcentral